GAGCAUUGAGUGAAUUCAAAGUGGUUAAUCUAAGGGGUGGGACUGCCUCCUUAAACAGUGUCCAGAAAUAGAGGAGGAGAACACACCCCCAUCUACAUCAACAGAGCAGAGGAUGAGAGCAUCAAGUUCCUCAGAGUAACAUUAACCAACAACCUGUCCUGGACUGCCAGGUAGAUGCGGUGGUUAAGAAGACACAACAAUGUUUCUUCUUCCCCAGGCGGCUCAGGAAAUUUGGCAUGUCCAUAAGGACCCUCACCAACCUCUACAGAUGCACCAUUGAAAGCAUACUGUCCGGGUGCAUAACGGCCUGGUAAGGGAACUGCUCUGCUCAGGAAUGUAAGAAACUACAGAAAGCUGUAUUCACAGCCCAGACCAUCACGGAAGCCAACCUCCCAGCCAUGGACUCCAUUUACAGGUCUUGUAAUGAACUUUCUCAACAUCCAGUGCAUUCAGCUAGUUCUUGAUGUCACAUGAAGUAAAUCAAAUUGGUUGACAACUGGCAUCUCUGACGCUGGGACCAUUGGAGGAAGCUGAGAUGGAUCAUCUACUCAACACUUCUGGCUGAAGUUUGCUGUGAAUGCUUAUCUUUAGCACUGAUGUGCUGGAUUCUCCCAUCAUUGAAGACAGGGACAUUUGUCGAGUCUCCUAUUACAGAUCUUGCAGUAUGGCUCAGAAAGGAUGGCCCAUGUCUAUGUGGUACACUGCACCCGUCACACCUGCAGCUACUAAUGGAAGAUGACCUUGAUACAGGGGAAAGAGAGAUCGACAGUAAUUUUCUGAUGAUGAAUUGAGGAUGAAGAUCAGGAUAAUGGGUGAGACAUCAAAGAGACCAUGAAGAGGCUGUGCACUGUCGAACACCAAGAAGCCAACAGGAAUGAGCUGGGUCUGGACUCCCUUUCGUUGUGUUACUUCCUGUGAUUAUCUGACAAGCAGCCCCUGGACAGAUCAUAGACCACAGGGACCUGGUUAUUUCUGUACUUCUUGAGCUAU
Molecule: long non-coding RNA, 990 nt
Organism: Hemiscyllium ocellatum (epaulette shark)
Lineage: Eukaryota; Metazoa; Chordata; Chondrichthyes; Orectolobiformes; Hemiscylliidae
Exons: 3
Source: RefSeq, a predicted model, not a curated record